Molecule: long non-coding RNA, 4558 nt
Filed under: Homo sapiens (human)
Lineage: Eukaryota; Metazoa; Chordata; Mammalia; Primates; Hominidae
Description: HSALNT0203879
Source: RNAcentral
UACAGUACUAGAGUACCAUGUAAUACACACGGUAUUGAUGGAAAAUAAGCAAGAGCUGCCUAACACAACCUGAGGCAAUCAAGGAGACCCCUGUGGAGGUGGUGAUGCCUACACUGAGCCUUAGAGUUGGCAAAGAAGUUAGCCAAGUGAAAGGUGAAGAAUCAAUACUCCAGCUUGAGGGAAGCAUGCAAAGAAAGGGGCGAAGUAACUGAAAUCACGGUAUAUGGAAGGAACCUGUGAUAACUCCACAUUGUAGGAGGUAGGACGUGAUGAGGUUUCUUCCACAGGGGUGACUGCUUGCUAGUUGAUAAGCUUAGAUGCAAAAGACCUUGGACUUUAUCCUAAAGGCAAAUGGAGAAUGUCUAGGCUUGAAAGAUUUAAUGCAGUUUCCAAGAUCUGAUAUGCAAAGUUAAGAACAACUUAGAUUCUACACAAACCAGAACAUUAAAUGCCAUAAAAUUGUAGUCAACAUAGCUAUGUAUACACUGAUUCAAACAUUCCAUGGGUCAUGUCUACAGCCGGGUGUUAGAAGAAAUGAUCUCUGAGAUAAAUCCAGCCAAGAUUCUAUUUUCUGAUUCCAAACGCCCAACAAAACUGUCGACCUGGAUCCGUCCUUUUGAAAGCAAUGAAGCAUACCACAGGACAAAUAGCACAGUGUUACCAACGUAUAAUCGUAAAAUGAAAAGAGCAUUUAAAGGGCUGUGGAAUCAAAGGCCAGUGGCGGACAUGGGCCUCAUUCUCACUCGUCCAACUUCUCUUUCCAGCAAACCAUACCUUUUCUGCAAUUGUAGCUCAUCAUGUCAGAAGAUGAAUGAAACUGAUUAAGGCAACUCUCUCCUGCCAACUUCACCAUAUUUGGAUGCAGCGUCUCAUCCUUCCAUCUCACCUGUCCAGAUUCGUCUUUUAAACUUGCAGUUGGUACACAAUGGAAUACUAUUCAUCCUUGAAAAAGAAAGAAAUUCUGUCAUUUGCAACAACAUGGAUGGAAUUGGACAACAUUAUGAUACUAAGUGAAAUAAGUCAGGCACAGAAAGACAAACACAGCAUGUUCUUACUUAUACGUGGAAUCUACAAAUAGAGAAUUCACAAAAGCAAGAAGCAGAAUGGUGGUUACCAGAGGCUGGAGGAUGGGAAUGGGGAGAUGGGGAGAUGAUGGUCAAAAGGUACAAAGGCACAGUUAGACAAGAGGAAUAAGUUUUUCUUAAUCCACUGCAGUGUGGUAAAUAUAGUUAAUAACAUUAUAUUAUACAUUUCAAAAUCGCUGAAAGUACAUUUCGAAUGCUCUCACCACAAAAAAAUAAGUAUUUGAUGUGAUGGGUAUGUUAAUUCACUUGAUUAAUUAUUCCACAUUUUACUCAUGAAUCAUAAUUUCACUUUGUACCCCAUAAAUAUACACUAUAAUUUGUCAAUUUACAAUAAGAAAAGUAAAUAAAAUAGAAACAAGUAAGUGGGUUAAUUAUUCUUUUUGAGAACCAAUUUUUGUUCACCCUGCUUAUAUACAUUGGGCAUAGAAAUUAAGAUUUUUGUCUUACUUUGUCCAACUCAAAAAAAAUGAGAUCUGUAAUUGAAAUGAUAAAAACUUAUUUUAAAAUAAUGAUAAUUUAAUUGUUGAUCGCUCAACAAUUAACAGGUAAGUCCAAUUUCAAUAUUGAUAUUUGAUAUUUUUAGUUUUUAAAUUAUAAAUAAUAAAUUACACAAAAUAAUGGGGAAAAAAUAAAAAAAUUAUAAAUAAUAAAUUAUGCAAAAUAAUGAAGAAAAAAGACAUGCACAUACACACAAAGAGCUUUUUAUUUUAUUCUUUCAAAUCACAAAGUGACACAGAUGCGAUCGAUCACUUUAUUUUUGAGUAGCAUAAACAUCUGCCAAUUAUUUGUCUCAUAUGGAAAUUUUGGAGGGGAAUGAGUUUUUUUCUAUCAGUUUCAAAAACAGAGGUAAAACUGGGGCAAAAAACAGACCAAAUGGUUAUGUAUAUUUUUAGCAGAACAAAAUACACUGAAGCAAAAAAAUAUAUACCUCUUUACCUCAUGUCUCAGUAAUUAAUUCAAUGUGUUUAAAUUUUUCCAUAAAAGAUUAUCCUCUCAUUUUAAAACCAGAAACCUGAGCAUAAGCAAAACAAUAUUUAUUCCAUGUUUCAUUCUCUGAAAUAAAUAACAUCCAGCAACGUUUCAACUUGACACAGUGACAGUUAAAGCAUCACAGACCCAGGUUCUGUAACCUUUCUGUCUUAAUUUGACAACCUAAUCUCCCAAGACUCGGUCUGGAACACUAGCUGAUCAAAAUAUUUUAUGAACUAUUUCUGGAAUUAUUCAAAAGAAAAUAAUAAAACAUAUCACCCUGAGUAAUUUCUCUUUUUAGAACACCAGGGUAAAAUCUUGCAAAGAUUCAAUUAAACAGCAGUGUCCCUCUGGAGAUAAAUUUAGCGAUGAUGCUUUGACCAGGAGAAUCUUUUUCUGGUGAAAUAUUUAAGAAGAGAUACAAAGCAAUAAACAUUCAUUUGUCCUUUUCCUCCCUAAGGUGACGAUGUAAGAAGAGUUUAUCUACCUUUAUUCUUGAUUGCAGCAUAAAUGUAAGGUAAGCUGCUCCUUCUGUAGACAACCCACUUGUUGUGAGGCUUUGGCCCUCAUGCCGCUGUUCCUGCAAGCUUUUGCUCUAAGAAGAAAUCUUCGUGCUCAGAAAAAAAAUUUGUCAUAAAAAUGAUGCAUGCUUGGAAAGUGUGACUAUGACUUGGCAUUUUUUCCUUUAAAGUUACUCAUUCCAGAAGAAAACACAUCAUUAAAACUUGCCCUAAAUAUCAGAGGUUUUAUUUCAGCAAAAUAUUUUGGGAUUCAUGAAUGCAUCAAACUAGAUAACAAUUAAUUUCCAUCAAGAGAAGGACUAUAACGUAUUAGCCAAAGUGCUAGAAACCAAAAGAAGAUGACUAGAUAACAAUCAGCAAAACUACUCACAAACAAGUUGUUUACUUUUAUAAAGUUUCCAAAUACAAAGUCAAACUAAUUCAUUUUGUUGAUUCGAAUGACAGUUUCUCUGACAGAGUGAAAAAAAAAUCAAAUAUUUUUGCCUUUAAACAUUUUAUGUGUUGUCCAGAAGGUAACGAUAUAUCCCUUUAGCCUUAAAACAAGAUUAGAUUUUUAAACCAAAAAUAUGACUGGGGGAAUCAUAAAAAGCCAGGAGAAAUUUUUCAUAUGCACUUCGAAAAAUACUGCUCUUACCUGGAAUUUACCAGAAUUCCUAUCUUACCUUUGUCCUUGCAUCAAUGAAGCAUUUAAUCUUGUCUGAAUUCCUUCAACAAGACCAAUGCAAGUGAUAUUGACUAGCAAGAAUUGUUCUUUAGGAAUGUGAAACUUCGAUGUCAAGUCUUAGCCAUAACAUGUGCUCCCAUGCACAACUAGACAUCUAUUGCCAAGGGGAGAGAGUCUUCCUUUUGCUACAAUUGUUGCCCUUUUUCCAAGUUCAGAGCAAAGACCUUUUUGAGAAAAGUAGAUGAAAAAUCAGGUCCAGGAUAAAUUGCAAAUGCAGGCUGUUUUUGUAGAGUGAGCAUGCCUUUCUUUAAGAUAGAAAUCAACUUUAGAAUUAGAUUAAUUAAAAUUUAAAUUUAGAAUGUAAAAAUAAGAGUCAAAGAGGCUUUUUAAAUUUACUUAUAUCCAAAUUUUGCAGGAUAUAUUGCUGGAAUACGACCAAAGAGUUUAACAUAUUAAACUAGGUAAAAUCUGAAAAAUAUUUUUAGUACAACUAGUUUAUAUUUCCCAUGUAUUAAUGCCUCUCGUUUUCCUGCUUCCUGUCUCCUUUGCCUGAUUUUCACUUCCUUUUCUCUUUUUUUCUUCUAUCACUAACCUUAGCUUGGAAGAGUUUCCAUGAUUCAAUCUUCUUCCAAUUUCUUUGUUCUCUUUGGCAGGAUCAAAGCUGAAUAGCACUUUUUAGAUUUUACAACAAUUACCCCAUUUGAUUUUUAUAGCCAUCUUGUGACAUAGUCCCAAAAGAUAUUAUCUUCUAUUCUACACCUAUCUGAAAUGAUACACCUAUUAAAUGGCAAUGUAAAAUCUCACAAGGCUCUUCCAAUUUUCUUCACCCUCUCCAAAUAGACCUCUCUUUUUCAUCAAUGAGGCCCCAGCAGUUAGUAUAGUCCCUAGCAUAUAAUAGGUGCUCAGUAAAUACAUAUUGAAUAAAUGAAUGAAUGAAUGAUAGCUAUACUUCUAUUUCUAUGAGAACUUCCACUUUUCAAAGUGCUUUUAUAUAUAUGAACUCCUCUGAAAAACACGUUUCAUGAAUUAGAUCAGCUACUUUGGUUCUCCAUUUUACUGCUAAAGAAAGUGUGGCUCAGAAAAGUAAAAGAAAUGCAUUCAUAAAUAGCCAAAAGUCUUUUUUUUCAGGCCAGCUUAGUGCCUAAAAAAAUUAAUAUAAGUAGAAUUUUCAACCCCAUAUGAACCUGUGGGCUAUUCUUCACUACAAAGUUAAGGUUAUGAUAAGUGCUAGUUAUUUUCACUAUUCUGCAUAGUCUCAAUAGUGUGUGUGUGCAUAUGUGUGUGCACAAGUGACUUUAUGUAUAUAUGUAUAUACACAC